RNAcentral lists this transfer RNA (72 nucleotides) under Hebius optatus (Mount Omei keelback). RNAcentral describes it as "Hebius optatum (Mount Omei keelback) tRNA-Leu". It matches the Rfam family "tRNA". Rfam says of the family: Transfer RNA (tRNA) molecules are approximately 80 nucleotides in length. Their secondary structure includes four short double-helical elements and three loops (D, anti-codon, and T loops). Further hydrogen bonds mediate the characteristic L-shaped molecular structure. tRNAs have two regions of fundamental functional importance: the anti-codon, which is responsible for specific mRNA codon recognition, and the 3' end, to which the tRNAs corresponding amino acid is attached (by aminoacyl-tRNA synthetases). tRNAs cope with the degeneracy of the genetic code in two manners: having more than one tRNA (with a specific anti-codon) for a particular amino acid; and 'wobble' base-pairing, i.e. permitting non-standard base-pairing at the 3rd anti-codon position. The record is from RNAcentral. Lineage: Eukaryota; Metazoa; Chordata; Lepidosauria; Squamata; Natricidae.
UCUACCAAAGGAUAACAGUUAUUCCACUGGUCUUAGGCACCAAAAUCCUUGGCGCAAAUCCAAGUGGUAGAA